GACGAACGCUGGCGGCGCGCCUAACACAUGCAAGUCGAACGGAGUCAAGAGGAGCUUGCUGUGCUUGACUUAGUGGCGAACGGGUGAGUAACGCGUGAGUAACCUGCCCUGGAGUGGGGGACAACAGGUGGAAACGACUGCUAAUACCGCAUAAGCCCACGGAGCCGCAUGGGGCUGCGGGAAAAGGAUUUAUUCGCUUCAGGAUGGACUCGCGUCCAAUUAGCGAGGUGGUGAGGUAACGGCCCACCAAGGCGACGAUUGGUAGCCGGACGGAGGGGUUGACCCGCCACGUUGGGACUGCGACACGGCCCCGACUCCUACGGAAGGCAGCAGUGGGUGAUAUUGCACACUGGGGCCAAACCUGAUGCCGCCGCGCCGCGUGGAGGAAGCAGCUUUUCGGAUUGUACACUCCUCUCGUUAGGGACGAUAAUGACGGUACCUAACAAGAAAGCACCGGCUAACUACGUG
This 468-nucleotide ribosomal RNA is filed under the name uncultured bacterium. RNAcentral describes it as "partial 16S ribosomal RNA". It matches the Rfam family "Bacterial small subunit ribosomal RNA", at positions 28 to 507 of the family's 1533-position model. The record is from RNAcentral.